UACAGAGGGGGCAAGCGUUAUUCGGAAUUAUUGGGCGUAAAGGGCGCGUAGGCGGCCAUUCAAGUGACGGGUGAAAGCCCUCGGCUUAACCGAGGAACUGCCUGUCAGACUGGAUGGCUUGAGACCGGGAGAGGUGAGUGGAAUUCCCAGUGUAGCGGUGAAAUGCGUAGAUAUCGGGAGGAACACCAGUGGCGAAGGCGAGUCUCUGGGAUGAUGCUGACGCUGAGGCGCGAAAGCCAGGGGAGCAAACGGG
RNAcentral lists this ribosomal RNA (253 nucleotides) under uncultured bacterium. RNAcentral describes it as "partial 16S ribosomal RNA". It matches the Rfam family "Bacterial small subunit ribosomal RNA", at positions 524 to 776 of the family's 1533-position model. The record is from RNAcentral.